UCCCUCUCAGGAUUGCAGCUGGAGAGUUUCCAGUACUCUACCAGUCUUGGCUAUAGGAGGGAGAGUCAAGCAGAGGCCUACCCGUUCCAUUUGCAGCUUGGACAGUGGCUAGUGAGUGGAAGACAAUCAGCUACAAGU
Tachyglossus aculeatus (Australian echidna) is the source of this 138-nucleotide small nucleolar RNA. The record is from RefSeq and is a predicted model, not a curated record. NCBI's taxonomy places the organism in Eukaryota, Metazoa, Chordata, Mammalia, Monotremata, Tachyglossidae.